GACGAACGCUGGCGGCGUGCUUAACACAUGCAAGUCGAACGGUAAGGCCCUUCGGGGUACACGAGUGGCGAACGGGCGAGUAACACGUGGGUGAUCUACCCUGCACUUCGGGAUAAGCCUGGGAAACUGGGUCUAAUACCGGAUAGGACUACGGACUGCAUGGUCUGGGGUGGAAAGCUUUUGCGGUGUGGGAUGGGCCCGCGGCCUAUCAGCUUGUUGGUGGGGUGAUGGCAUACCAAGGCGACGACGGGUAGCCGGCCUGAGAGGGUGACCGGCCACACUGGGACUGAGAUACGGCCCAGACUCCUACGUGAGGCAGCAGUGGGGAAUAUUGCACAAUGGGCGCAAGCCUGAUGCAGCGACGCCGCGUGAGAGAUGACGGCCUUCGGGUUGUAAACCUCUUUCAGCGUCGACGAAGCGAAAGUGACGGUAGGUGCAGAAGAAGGACCGGCCAACUACGUGCCAGCCGCCGCCGUAA
This 478-nucleotide ribosomal RNA is filed under the name uncultured bacterium. Its description in RNAcentral is "partial 16S ribosomal RNA". It matches the Rfam family "Bacterial small subunit ribosomal RNA", at positions 28 to 523 of the family's 1533-position model. The record is from RNAcentral.